RNAcentral lists this ribosomal RNA (1016 nucleotides) under uncultured bacterium. RNAcentral's name for it is "bacterial SSU rRNA". It matches the Rfam family "Bacterial small subunit ribosomal RNA", at positions 357 to 1376 of the family's 1533-position model. The record is from RNAcentral.
AGGAAUAUUGGUCAAUGGGCGCGAGCCUGAACCAGCCAAGUAGCGUGAAGGAUGAAGGUCCUACGGAUUGUAAACUUCUUUUAUAAGGGAAUAAAGUCACCCACGUGUGGGUGUUUGUAUGUACCUUAUGAAUAAGCAUCGGCUAACUCCGUGCCAGCAGCCGCGGUAAUACGGAGGAUGCGAGCGUUAUCCGGAUUUAUUGGGUUUAAAGGAAGCGUAGACGGGCCGUUAAGUCAGCUGUGAAAGUUUGAGGCUCAACCUUAAAAUUGCAGUUGAUACUGGCGUCCUUGAGUACGGUUGAGGCAGGCGGAAUUCGUGGUGUAGCGGUGAAAUGCUUAGAUAUCACGAAGAACCCCGAUUGCGAAGGCAGCCUGCUAAACCGCCACUGACGUUGAGGCUCGAAAGUGUGGGUAUCAAACAGGAUUAGAUACCCUGGUAGUCCACACGGUAAACGAUGGAUACUCGCUGUUGGCGAUAGACUGUCAGCGGCUUAGCGAAAGCGUUAAGUAUCCCACCUGGGGAGUACGCCGGCAACGGUGAAACUCAAAGGAAUUGACGGGGGCCCGCACAAGCGGAGGAACAUGUGGUUUAAUUCGAUGAUACGCGAGGAACCUUACCCGGGCUUGAAUUGCAGACGAAUUGCUUGGAAACAGGCAAGCCGCAAGGCGUCUGUGAAGGUGCUGCAUGGUUGUCGUCAGCUCGUGCCGUGAGGUGUCGGCUUAAGUGCCAUAACGAGCGCAACCCUCGUGUCCAGUUACUAGCAGGUUAUGCUGAGGACUCUGGACAGACUGCCAUCGUAAGAUGUGAGGAAGGUGGGGAUGACGUCAAAUCAGCACGGCCCUUACGUCCGGGGCUACACACGUGUUACAAUGGGGGGUACAGCAGGCAGCUACCGGGCGACCGGAUGCCAAUCCCGAAAGCCUCUCUCAGUUCGGACUGGAGUCUGCAACCCGACUCCACGAAGCUGGAUUCGCUAGUAAUCGCGCAUCAGCCACGGCGCGGUGAAUACGUUCCCG